AUGACAAAGAAAAGAAAGGAACAAUGAUCGUGCCAAAAAGGGCUGUGGCCAGUAGUGGCACAUACUAUGUCCGAUGCAUGCCCAAGGAAAAGACCAUUAAGAAGCUCGUCGUGCAAAACAUAGUAGAGGCCGCAGCAGUCAGGGACAUUACUGCAGUGAGCAACUUUGCCUCCUAUGUUCUUCCCAAGCUGUAUGCGAAGCUACAUUAAGGUGUGAGUUGUGCCAUUCACAGCAAGGCAGUCAGUAAUCCAUCUUGUGAAUCCCACAAGGACCAAAUACCCCAAUCUGAUUUAAACCUGUGGGUGCUGCCUCAUGACCCUCACCAAAGCCCAUGUAA
Molecule: long non-coding RNA, 337 nt
Filed under: Homo sapiens (human)
Lineage: Eukaryota; Metazoa; Chordata; Mammalia; Primates; Hominidae
Description: non-protein coding lnc-ITGB5-1:1
Source: RNAcentral